Molecule: long non-coding RNA, 14626 nt
Organism: Stegodyphus dumicola
Lineage: Eukaryota; Metazoa; Arthropoda; Arachnida; Araneae; Eresidae
Source: RefSeq, a predicted model, not a curated record
UUUUAAUUAAUAUGAUGGAAUUCAGGUUUUGUUAUAAAACCAAUAUUUUUGUCUCUUCCAUUAAGUAAAACUGAUUUAUAAUGUAAUUUUGAUGCUUUCAAGGUCAAAUUCUAAAACUUUUAACCCUUUCAUCUUUUAAAAACUUCUUUAGUAAAAUAAAAAAAUAGCUUAGCAAUUAGUGUGAUUUGAGAGAGUAUAUGUAGAAUUUUUAGCAAAAUGAAAUUUCAUAAACAGAAUUGUAGUGAAAGCUUCAUAUUUAAUUUAUUUCUUAAACUAUACCAGGGGCACGUGAUAGACCUUUUUAGAGUUAUUUAGCCUUGAAAUCUUUUCAUAUAUUAUAUAUAACUUAUUGGUUUGAAAAUCCAUUUGUGUAAUUUAACUUCUUAUGCUUCUUAAGUAGAUGUAUGAGAAGGUUUGCUAUUUUUCCACUUAUCUCCAUAUGUUAUUUUCUCAAGCUGUCUUUGUUAAGUACCACGUGAUAUUUAUAACAACAUAAAAUGUUAGUUCUUCCUUAAUUUGUUUUACAUAUUAUUUGAUAUAAACUUAAAAAGACUUGAUUUCAUCUUUCUAAUGCCUCUUUUUUUUAAUAGUCAAAUAAUAAAAACUUUCAAGUUUUUUUUUUUUUUUUUUCGAGAAGGUUAGAAAAAAUAUAAAUAAUACCUGUGAUCUUUUUUCUGGGGGGGGUUGCAAAGGAGGGAUGCCUAAGUAUUGGUUUUGUUAUGGUUUAAUUUUAAAGGCAAUAAGUAAUGUGCAGUUUUGUCAGUCUUUCUGUUGUAUAGUAAACAGAAAAGUGCAGUGUACGUUCUUUAUUAAAUAAUGUGAGCUAAAUUAUGAUGCAUACAAAGUAAAAAACUAUUAGGAAGAGUGUAUGUAUGAUAUUAAUGUUAUUUCUGUUUUAGUGCUUUUAAUUGUAAAUUCUUAAUUAGGUUAUUUAUAUUUUCAUCUGAAGAAGAUGCAAAAUUAUUAGAAUAAAUGAAAUUGAGACUGAAUUUUUUUCAUUCUUUGUUCAUUUAUUUUCUUAAAAAGAGUCAGAUAAGCUUUCCUGAUCAAUAAAACUGAGUCAUUGCUUUUAAAGCAGUUAUAUCUGAAAAGUAUGCAUGUAUAUGAAUUCUAAAAUGACAUUUUAGGUAAGACUUUCAUACUUUUUGAGUUUUCUUUUGUUGUGUAAAAUGGAAGUGUGCAUGCUUGUAGUACUUUUAUUAGUUCAUGUUCAUUAAUGAAUCAAUCUGUUGGUUCAUUGAAAUAAAAAUUUGAUUGGAAAGCAGAUUCUUUUUCAUUAAAUUGAAAUCUUCAUAAAUUAAUGUUUUCAAAGCAAACUUUAAUAACAAAUGUUCAGUUUGGUAUGUUUUCAAUAUAUUUUCAGUCUUAAUUUAAUUGGGAAAAAAUGAACCUUUGAAGUGCAUAAAAAAAGAUCCAAGAACCAUACCUCUAGAUGCCAUAGCUUUUGAGAAAAAUACAAAGAAAGUGAUAUUUCAUCCAAUAUUCGAAAAAUAGGAUUUCUAUAAAAUACGAACACUAGUAGUAUAAGCAUGUGAUAUUAAAAUGUGAAUUUGUUCAAAAUGACCAGCACACAUAUUAAUCUUCACUGCAGCCUAGGAAUAGCAAGUUUCCAGAGUGCUGCCUCUCAGUUCAUCUUUUCAUCACAAUUCAUCUUUUAAAAUGUAAUUGCUUAAAAUGCAUUUCUUAGCAAUUUAAAUCUUUAUUUUAUUUUGAUGGCAGAAAUGUCUGUAGUGAAACGUACUAUUACAAGCUGUGGAAUGGCUAACUAGACAAGGUUCAUCUGCAGGGUGUCUGCAAAAAUUAACACAGCUUGAAGAUAUCAAAUAAAAAAAAAAAAAAAAGUGCUUAUAAAAUAAACCUUAAUUUAAAACUCACAAAAUAAUUAAUAUACUAAAAGAAGAAAAUAGUUUACCAUAUAGUUUAAUACAACAAAUGAUUAAAUAAUUUUGUUCACAGAAUUCAUCUGCAAUUUUAUAUCACAAAUGAUAAAAAUGUUUGAUUAUUAUAUUUCAUUAUUUAGGCAUCCAUACUUUUGUUGUUUGUGAAAUACAAUUGUAGAGAAUAUUUGUUCACAACUAUGUGAUAAAUUAUUUUGUUCUUUUAUUUGAUUAAUCAUUUUAUGAGUUUUAAAUAAAAGCUUAUUUUAUAAACAUUUAUGUACAUUAUUAUUAUUGUCUUUUUAGUCCUGGUUGCACAUUAUUAGUCAAAAAUUUAAAAAUUAUUUUUUCAGCAACGAAUAAUCUUUCUUCUACUACUCUUCUACUUAACAAUUCUGUUAUUAUAUGCAACCUUAUAAUAAAAUAUAGUAUUUCUAAUUUUACAUUAAAAUUUAUAUAUAUUAUCUGCAAUAAAAAUAUAUAUAUAUUUGGUCUUAGACCACAGUAAACUCUUGUGGGAAUUUUAUCAUCAAUAAAUUGCAAUGAAUGACAAAAAUGCAUUUCGCGAUGUUAACUUUUUAUGAAAAAAUAUAUUGGGUAUAAUUCAGAUUAAGAUAGUUUGUAUAAUUUAAACAAACCUAAAUAUUGUUUUAAUUAAAGGGAGAGGGAAUGAAACAAAUGUUAAUUGAAAGGAGUUUUAGCACUGCUUAAUAAGUACAUGGUACACUUAAUUUUUAAAAAAGUUUGGGUCUUUUUGUUUGGAACAUUAACAGAUGCAACUCUUUAAAAGUUUCGUGGCAAGGAGUACUGUUUUCGUUGUCUUUCAUAUAAAGGUUCUCUUCUUUCUUCAUUUGGGCCAAUCUCCAUUACUGUUGAACAACAGUUUUUUUAAUUAGAGAAAAUCGCUAAAAAAACUAAUAGAAUAAUCAGUAGUCAUUUUCUCAAUAAUGUCCCUUUUACUCAGUUUAUAGGCGAUUUCAUUGCUGGAUACAUUUAUAUGAGAAAAUAUCCAAUAAGUGGAUAUCUGUGAUCAUUGUCAUGUAUUUCAACUGAUAAGUAUUUGAAUAACCACAUGAUCUUCAGCUGGAUUCCAAUUCUGUAAAUGUUGAGUAGAGCUGCAGCUGUCUGUAGAUACUACUGAAACCAGUAUCGCUUAAAAUGGCCCUCAGGCUUUCAUUUAUUGCAGUUAAUUUAUUCAUGAAAACUGAGCUGUUAUCUGUAUUUUGUGUUGAAAGUUCAGCAGUAUAAUCAUUGUAUUUAAUAAAAACACUACAUCCAGUACAGUUAGCUCAUUUUUAAUGCCGUUUGUGUAUAUCCUAAUGGCAUCAUUCGGAAUAUCAUUUAUAGAUUUGAAACCUAUUUGUUAUAGAUAGUCAAGGACCUGAUAAUUCUUAUUAUUGAUAUUCUUUUUAAUGCCAUUUGUGUAUAUCCUAAUGGCAUCAUUCGGAAUAUCAUUUAUAGACUUGAGACCUAUUUGUUAUAGAUAGUCAAGGACCUGAUAAUUCUUAUUUGUGUAAGACAUAAAUUCUCUAUGCAACAACACACCCGACAAGCUCUCUGCUGGACAAAUGCAGAGUUUCAGUAAGGUAAGCUCCACUAAAUGGGAGAUGAUAUUCAUUCCCCCCCCCAACUAAAUGUGUUGUGUGUUGUUCUUUAAACAUUGAUUAUUUCUUCAUUCACAAAGAUAUUCAGAAAUUUGUCUGAGUUACGUAGCUUUUUAAUUCAUUGAAAUAUUUCACAAUGAUCGAGUUUCUUCAUGAAACAGCUGUGGGAGUUUUCCCUCAUAAAGUACUCUUUUAUUUAGGCACCUGUUUCUUAAACAUAUUUUGGUACGAGCUACACUUAAAUGAACUCACUCAAGUUUUUUAAGAUUGAUAGUGGAGGCACUAAUCUAUACCGGAAACUCGUAUUCCAGGAUACUUCUUAUAAUGGCAGUACACAUUCUCGGGAAUGUUUUAGCAUUGCCACCUCAAUUUGUACUAGAAAUAAGUUAAAGAAUAUUGAGACUCCCACUUUCCUUUUUAGCCAGAUUUACGAUGUGCCCAUAGCCCAUAAUCUCUUGAGUCCAUGACAAAAUCCAAGUGCAUUGGAUAUUUAACAUAUGAAAGAGUCUGAUAAUUGCAAUAAAUCGAGGUAUGAUAUGAGUACUAAUACUUGUUAGUAUUGAAAAAAACUAAUUUAGGAUUGUGAAAAAUUGAAUGGCAGUUUGUAUUCAUUAACACAUUUUAACAUGUCAUUUAAGGUAAAAUUUAUAUUUGAUUUAAUAAGAUUGAUGUCAGAAUCAGAGACCACAUGGCAGUGUUUUCAGCAAACUUUCCAGCCUCACAUUUUAUGGGUAUGACCUCUUUAAUUCCAGCUGUGUACAAAGUAAACUUGGUGACUGGUGCUGUGAUCUCUUCUAAAAUCACACUUUUCUCUCGGCAAAAUAUCUCUGGACUCAAGAUAAAAAAUAACUCUAAUAGAAUAUUUUUUUCUAUGAUUUUACAUGGAAUGGAGAAAGCUUUGUUACAGGUGUGUAGAUUUCAGGACAGCUAGCCUUCUUAUCUGAUUUUCUAAUUGGAAUAAUAGUUGCUCUCUUCCAGUUUUUGGAGAGUUGACUUCAUGCAGGAAGAAGCAAUUGUUGAAGAAAGGGUUAUCCAUUUUCAAGCUGAGUUUCCCCCCCCCACAUUACCAGUGGCUCAGGCCGCUGAAUACUGGGAGUUUGACAUGGGUUUGAUCCUAGGCAAAUGGGUUGUCUACAUGGUUGCUUUCAUGGCUUUCAUCAUGUGUAUAGUGACUAUGAGACAGUUUCCCUUAGAACUUCCUCCACGAAGCGAUCCUUUCCAAAUACAGAAAGCUCUUUUGUGUGCUUUGGCAAGUUCAAUAAUCUAACCUGUCUAAUUGUAUAAAUAUAUAAAUCAAAGCUAUAUGUAAAACAUUUUUUUACUACUCUUUUUUUAUUUAAAUUUCUGAUUUAGCAUAGUUUUCUGAUAUAUCAGUUUUUUCUUUUCUUUUUCUUUUUUUAAAGGAUUUUCAUGCUGUGAUUAUAUUGUAUGUGAAAUCAUCCUCAUAUGAGUGAAAAAUAUGAAGAUGCUAUAAAACUUUCAGGAGAUAAUUUACUUAUUUGUUUUUAAUAUGGAUUUAAUACCCUUGAUUUUCUGUGUCCCAUUUUCUAUAAUUGCAGCAAAGCUAAGCUUUUUAAUAUCAAUGCAAAUUUUUCACAUAUGGUAAAAUGAUGUACAGGUCUGCAUCAUUAUAUACAAUUACAUCAAAUAUGGAAUAUUCACUUGAUUCCAAGAUUGCAGCGCAGGUGGAGAUUCUAUGUGUAUGUUUGAAUCUAAGAUUGUUUAACUUACUAAUGGAAUCAUGAUGUAAGAUUUUUAAUUUCUCAUUUAUGUCUUUGAUAUUGUAAAGGUGGUAUAUAUGCAAGAUAAUUAGAUUAUCUAAAACUAUAUACUUUUGUGUAAAUUUUAAAUAUGCAUGUAUUAUUUAGUAUAAAGGACUAUAUAGUAGGCAUUGCUUAAUGUGAUCAUGGCUUAUUUGGAUAGCAUUAAUGGAGUGAUAACAAUAAACAAUGAGAAAAAAUAAGCUUCAAAAUAGUGCUGAAAUUUAACUAAUUUAAUAUAAACACUAGAAGAAAAUAUCAAUAAGAACUUUCAAAGAAUUUUUAUUAGAAAAAUGCAAAAACUUGUUUAUGAACUGUUCGUAACAUUUUUGGAAAUUAUUUGAUCAAUGCUAUAACCCUAAUCUUAAUACUCGAAGAACAUCCCUCAUUCACUGGAAGAGAACAUCCAAAUGUAAAAUUUUAAAAAUAGGAAUUAAAGAAACCUUAAUUUAGCGUAGAUUAUUUUCCGGGAAAUUUUUAAGAAUCCUGGAAAAAUUCCGGAGAAAUGUUUUUUGCUCUUGAGAAGAGAGACCUGUGUCUGAUCAUCCUCAAAAUUGAUGAAGUUAUUCAAAAUUUAAGCCAAACUAAGGCUGUUUUUUUGCUUUGCUUUAAGGGGCUGACUAAUAUUGAAAACAAGCUGUGUAGUGAUGUAAUCCCUCACUUGCUUGUUUUUAUAAUCUGUUUUGACCAUAUUUGGUGACUUAUCAAGUAUCAGUUAAAAAAGAUAUUUUAUAAUGAUGUCCCUUAUUUUGCAUAACAAAUUUAUUUUAAGUUUGAUGCCUUUACUGCACUUCUCAACUUUCCCUCACAUUUUCUUGCCAGGAUGUAAAUUUAAAGUUAAGGGAAGUGAGUAUUUAAACGGGUGAAUUGCUGCUGAGUUUAAUCAGAGCAUGUGUUCGCUAGCCAGUGCAUGUUUCGUUGCUAUUUUGCUGCUAGUAAGCCUCUUCGCCAUUCCGGAUUAUCGUCAUGCCUGUUACUUUUUUGUGAGUCAACCUGUUAUCUGUAAUUUAAUGUACUAAUCCAGCACUACUUUAGAUUUUGACUUGAAUUAUAAUAUACAUUUUAGUUUCACUGCAAGUUGAUGGUGCCAUUGUAAAGCAUGAAGAUCAUGCCUUUUUGUUAAUUAUUUGAAGUAAAUAAAGUGUUACUUUCACCUUCUUCUGUGCUGGUAAUUUAUUCAUGCCUGUGCAAGAAUUCGCCAAGUUUAUUGUAGGAUUUAAUUUAGUUUAUGUGGAAUAACAGAGACAGAUCUUACAAUACUUUGAUAAUAUUAACCAAAUUUUUAAUGCAAUAAGCAAUAUAUUUUUUCAUGUUUCUGUGUACAAAUGGGUGGGACUUGGCAAUUUCAUAACAGCAUCCAAAUGGCAACAUGAAGUGGCAUCUGUUGUAAUAAAUUCUGAAUAUAUAUAUAUUAAAUAUUGAUUUGUAUAUAUAAAAUAGCCAUGAUUUUUUAAAAGCUAUUUUAAAGAAAAUAUAUCUUUAAUUCAAUUUAGAAUGGUGACGUAUGUGUGUGUGUGGUUAUAUUUCUCUGCUAGCAAAGAAUGUUAAGUAAAGAUAUGUAAUAUUUAUUCUGGAAAUUUUGCCAGUUUUUCAAUAUGUAUUUCUGAGACGAGCUUCAUUCAGCUUAAUAAAUGUUACAUAUAAUACAAUUUAUUCAUUGAUAAGGUUUAAUAACUAUAUUUCCUUUAGAAAUGUUGAUCAAAGUACUUUCAUGAAUAGGCAAAUAUUUCAAAGCUGCAUUUACAUAUUCAUAUAUGAGCAUCUAUUAUUUAUUUUCUGUAAAUCAUUGAUUGCGUAUGUGCGUGAAGUAUUUCACUUCUGCAGUUUUUUUCACUCUCCUGUCAAGGAAGAGGGCAAACUUGAUGCAAGAUUAUUGACUUAUGCUAUACUGAACUGUAGUUAGAGAAAAAUGCCAAAUUGUUUGUUAAAAUUAAUAGGAAUUGUUUUAAAUCAUUGUAUCAAUUUUAUAUUUAGUGGUAAUAAUAUCAUUAGACUUCGCUUUAGCAUAAGAGUAAAUAUGAAAUAAACUUCUAAGAAUGAUAUUGUGGUCAGUGCCAAUUUUUGGUUAUGUGAGAUAAGUCAAUAACAUGUUGUUGUACAUAGAACCAAUAACGUCUUUACGUGUGGUUUGAAGUUCAAAAGAUAAAUAACCAUUUCUUUUAAUCCAUACAGACAGAAAACUAGGUAAUUAAAAAAGAAUACUUUUAUUAAUUAAAGUGAGAAACAUCCAAACUUUUGUGUGUUCUUUUAAUAUAUCAAAGUAAAUGAGAAAUGUAUUAAUAUACAAUACAAUUGCUAUUGUUUUCUGCUUACCUAGGUUUACUUUUUAUAAUAUUAGAUUAUAUAUGUUAUAUUUUUAGUUAAGAUACUCUUACAUGUACACAUAACAGUUUUAAAUAAAGAACAGAUUAAAGGGGGGAUCUUUCUAUAUUUUUUUUUUACAAAGUUUCACAACUUAUGUUACUUUUACUUGUUUCCAAACUCGUUGGAUGCAUAACUUUUCACAAUGAAUGUCUUUCCAAUUCAUUGUGAAAAGGAUCUUUGGUAGCUGUUUUAAUCUAUCAGUGGCAAUAAUUUUUGGGGAAAAUUAAACAGCUAUUUUUUAUUAAAACACUAUCUACAGUUGCUUAAAAAUAUUUGGUGUAAAGAGAUUAAAUAUUAGAAUAGCAUUGGGCUCCUUUUAGAAGCAGGGCGUAAUGGGAAAGAUGACACUGCUUGGGAUUUAUGUAAUAUUUUUUCUAAGAAGAGUUUAUGGGAAAUAACGUAGUUGAAAUAUGAAGUUUCUUAGAUGAAAAAUAAAGCAUUUUUGAUUAAUUAUUUAAAUACUCUUAAACUAUUUCAGUUUUUAACAUAAUAAUAUGUGAAUUUAUUAAUUUAUUUAGGCUGUCCUGCUGUAUUAUUAUAUAAUUGUUACUUGCCAAAAUGCAUAAUUUGUGUAGAUUUCUGUGUAUAAAAGGAAAUUAAACAAUUUAUAAACUUGUUUUGUUCACAUUGAGAUUUUAAUUUUGUUAAUAGUAUUUAACAAAUGCAAACAUAAAUUAUUUUGAAUUAAAAAUAUAAAAUUGUCAUAAUUAGAUUAUUACAUGUAUGUGGCCAGUGCUUAAUUGAAAAUAAAUUUAAAAAAAUACCUACUUCAAGUUAAAUUCUUAAAAAUGAUUUUCAUUGGUUUAUAUUUUUUUCUAUUGGCAAUAUUUGCCAUGUUCUUGUUCAAAAUAUGGUUGUAUUUCAUGGGUAUCCUGGAUACCCAUGAAAUACAACCGACAUUAUGUUUGUAUAAUGUCUCAAUUAUUGAACAAAAAUAAUUAGAUAGAUUAUGGAUUAGUUUUUGUACAUAAGGGAAGAAGGGAAAAAAUUCAAUGCUGAUCUUAAUGAGCCUAAUCUAUGUCCAAAUUUGAAUUUACAGUUGUUAUAUACAUUUCGUGGGCAUGAACUACUUGAAAGCAUUGGGCUAGUUUUUCAGUUGUUUUCUACAAACAUCUGAGUUGGUAGUUUGGAAGAAACUUAAAAUGCACACCAAUUUCCCACCAAAUUGAUAGCGUGAUCUUUUUGUGUUACGAUUUAGCUUUCAGUGUGAUUUGUGCUAAUUUAUCUUGUCUGGACCGUGAUUUUUUUCGAUGAAUAUUACUGUAAAUGAUCCUUUUUUCAUCACCAAUGGCAAUUUGUUUCAAAAAAGGUCAGUUACAUUACAUUUGAAAUGUGUGUUACAAAUAUUGAUUUGUUAUGCUAAAUGAAUGUCUUUCCAAUCGAUGUGGAAUCCAAAUAUCAAGCUUCUUAACGAGUCCAAGACAUCUUAUGCUAUUUUUAAUUGUUGUGUGUGCUAUAUUUAACCUUUCUGCAAUCUAUUGUACAGUUAUAUGAUGAUUUUAUUCAAUUAUGGCUUUAAUUUUGUCAACUUCAGAAGGUCAACCAGAAUGCUGUUCAAUUUCAAGUUAAAAAUCUUCACAACAAAAAUUUUUAAACCAAUUCGGACACAUGCUUCUGUUAAAUAAUCAACACUAAACACUUUACAUAUUUCUUUAAGCCUAAGCUGCUUUUUUGCCUUUGUGGAAAUAAAGAUGUAACAUAUGUUGAAAAUGUUUAUAUUUGACCCCCUAGUAAACAAAAUGCAGAAUGCAAAAUUUGUUUCUGUAGAAACCUAAAAGUGUCAGCUGUCAAAUUUCAAAAGCAGAAAACAGAAGACAUAUCUAAGGACAGAAGAAUAACAAAACAAACAUAAUGUUAUCUAUUUGUGCAAACUGCUUGCCAACCCGAUAAUAUGUGAAUGAUUUACUGAAUAGUUGGUCUGCAGUAGUUAUUGCUUUAUGUAUAUCUAUACAAAUCAUUAUUCCAUGAAGUAUAAUUUGAAGUUCAAUGAAUAAGUUUAUGUAUAAAAAUAGAUUAAGUGAUAUAUGCUUAUUUGGUGAGAAGGGUGCAUGACAUUCAGCCGACAAGGACAUUUAGCCAACAGGACAUUUAUGUGACACAGAGAGUUAGCCGUCAGGACAUUUAACUGUCAGGACAUUUAGUCAACAGGGCAUUAAGCCGACAGUGUCGUUUAGCUGAUAUGUACCCAAUAAUUAUUUAAACUUACUAUCAAUUACAAAAAUUUCUCUACUUCUACGUAAGUUCAGUAUUUAAGUUAUUUUUUUCACUUAUCAGUGAAAUUUAUUUUUGAUUCUUUAAUAUCCCAUAUGUGCUUUUAAUUCUUGUGUAAUUUAGCAUAGUUUGAUUUAUAUCACAUUGUUUAAUGUAUAUUAGCUAAAUUGAAAAAGCAUUGCAUGCCUUCAUAGUGUAGUGGUCAGCAUGCUCAACGCGUUUCGAGAGGCUCGUAGUUCGGGUCCCGGUGAAGGCGUUGCUCACUUUUCAUCUCUCCUGCUUCAAAAUAACCCAAUGUCUCUACAGUGGCACCUGAACUAAAAGGGUGGUUAGUGAUGAUUCUUCACCCCCAGAAUUUGAUGAUUGGGUCUCUUAAUCCUCAGUCAAUCUUUGAAAAGGGAAGUAUAUAAGGAAUUUCUCCUGCUUUCAUAGUGUAGUGGUCAGCACGCUUGACACAUUUCGAGAGGCCCGUGGUUUGAGUCUUGGUGAAGGUGUUUCUCAUUUUUCAUCUCUCCUGCUUCGAAAUAACCUAAUGUCUCUACAAGUUUAUUGACAAAAAAUAGUUCAUGAUAAUUUUCAUUAUAUUUCGUACUAAUGAAUUAAUAGAAAUGAAGGUUCUAUAUAGCAAAAUGUAGUAAUCUAGUUUAUUAUUUUUGUCAGCAUUAAUAUUAAGAGACACAAAUGUGCCUCAGUUGAGAGAGUUUGUCAUGUAAUUGAAACAAAAGUGAUUUUAAUAAUUAAGUCUUCUGUUGCACUCAAGGUCAGGUGUAAAUUCAUAUGUCUAAUUCUCUCUUAUUAUUUUUUAAGUGCAGUGGAACACUAAUAAUAAAUGUGGUCACCAUGUAGGUGGCUGAAGUCGCUUAAUACAUGGUUUGAUGCAUGCUAAGUAUCUAAACUGACUGUAUAUCCAGUAGUGUAUAAGCAGUUGUGACAUACCUGAAGCCAUAUGUAAAAUAUUACAUGCAUGUGUGUAAUUGAUCCUAAUUUUCUGAUAUUUCAAAGACUAAGUAUUUUUUGCUUAAAAGUAAAAGUUUUUAUUUUUAAAAAAUAAAGUUUAAAAUUUUUUAAGCUUUCUUUGGCAUCAGAUUCAGUUUCAUGGUAAUUAUUUUCAUUGCUGGAAAAAUAUUAAAUAUUAUACCAUUUGGAUGUAAAUUAUCUAUUUGUGUAGGUAUUUAGUGAAACUGUAUUAUGAUACAAUUCAGAGCCGGAUUUAUACUUGAUAAGGCCCUAAGCUAUUUGAAAUAUGGGGCCCUUUAUAAGUCUGUUAUACUAUAUUUUAAUUUUGGGGUGGGCCUAAGCUAUGGCUGGUGUAGCUUAUACAUAAAUCUUGCACUGAUAAAAUUUUGCUUAGAAAUUUGAAAAUGAUUCUAGUAUUUUGUGUUUAUUGAAUGAAAAGAUAUUAUAUAUUAUUUUUUAACUUGCAUCCCUCUCUUUAAAAAGAUUUGUUGUGAAAUGUGCUUCUGUAAAUCCUCAUCUGUAAAAUUAGGAAUUUUUAUUCAGAUACAUUUUUGCAGUUAAAUGAAUGUUUGUAGCAUUAUGUCAGAUUUUUAUUUUAUUGCUUUUUCAGCUUAUUUGUUACUUAUGUAGUGUAAUGCAUAUGGUUAUAUUUAAUGUAAUGAUAUGUUGCUUUAAAUAAGUUUAAAUAUGUAAUUGAAAUUGUUUCUUGCUUGUAAAUAUGUUUUGCAAAAUGUAUUGAUGUUUAAGAAUAAUCAUUUUGUAAAUAUGUACUUUUUUUAAUUUGCUAAAAUAAGAUUUUCUUUAAAAUUUUGAAAACAAUGAAAGCAUUGAAAAGUACAUUGUUGUGACUUCCAUUGUUGAAUGUAAAAUACCUUAAUAAAAAUGGUUUUGUUCUUUCAUUAAUAUGAUGUGACAAACAUGGAUAUGCAACAAAUCUUAAAUAUUUAUUAAAAUCUAAUGGCUUGAAGGUUCUAUGAGUUGAUGUUUCAAAGUUUUUUUUUUUUUUAAUAAAUUCUUUAUACCUGUAAAUUUAAUUCCUUGACAUAAAGUAUUUAUAGUGUGUCUUUGUUUUAGACAGGUGGGGGCAGUACCACUGUAAAAUAAAUGCUUGCUUAUUAUUACAUAAUCCUUAUUUACUUUUAGCCAUAUUGUUCAGAAUUUUUUAUCACUAUGCAAGUUGUCUGUAUUGUAAUUUACAGUACAAAGUUCAAGUUGGUAGCUCAAGUGAUUCCAGAUUUUAGAUCAUUAGUUUAAAUCUAGUAAUACAAAAUGCAAGUAUUACUGCUUCACUUAUUUUUUAAUGUCAGAUAGAAGAAUUCUAAAUCCCCACAGAUUUUUUUCUAAAUAUCCACUUACUUAUAUCUGUAUCUAUGUUAUGUUACAAGACCCCACUGCAAAAGAUCUAAGAAGAAAAAAGAAGUAACUAAAUUUCACUUGUGCUUCUUUUUAGCUAGAAAGUCCUCCACAAAGUCAUCCUUUCCUUUCGACAGAUAGCCCUUUCAUGCUUUGCCUUAAUUUAAAAAAAAAAAAAAAAAUUCUCUUUAACGUUUUAUAUUGAAAUGGACUUCGCAGUAAAAACAUAUUUCAAUCAAUUAUUUAUCUGUAUGAAAACCAAGGAAUUUAACUCUUUUUUCCUUUGCUAUUUUGCUACCCGACCGACAAACUUGCAGGGUGUGUAGGGGUACAGAGACGACUCAGAAUCACAAAGGAAUGCAGGGUCACAAAUGCCGUAGUCGCGAGUUAUGGUGAAAAGAACAAAAACAGCAACACUUUAAUGGGACAGAAAACGUUUUAUUGAAAGGUUAUACUACAACAGGUGUUCGAAAUUACAGUCGUAACGGCGGACCUGACAGCGGCACUCAAUGGAAUUCCUUACAUUCUGGAAGUUUUCUGGCAUGUCACGUAUCCUCUCGGCAGCUACAGAUAUUCAUGUGACGAAGUCUUCAGCUGAAGGAAUGGGCGUUUCUUACACACUCUUCAUGUGAUCCCAGAAUAAGAAGCAGUCCAUACAUGGUAGGUCCGGUGAUCUGGCAGACCAAUGAACCGGGCUACUACGACCUAUCCAGAGGUGUUGGUGGGCAUCAGUCGUGUAAUGGGAAGGAGCUCUGUCAUGCUGGUACCAUUAGUUAUGCCCUACUGUCUGGUAGGACUGGGCAGAAGGAACGGUCUAAUGAGGUAGUCUGCAAGAAUGCCAGCCCAAACAUUGACCGAGAAACGCUCUUGAGCUACAUGUGGUUGCGUACAAUGAGGGUUCUCCAGAACCUCCCUCACAUGUGAAGUAUGCUUCAUCCGUGAACAAUAUGGGCACAGCAGAUGUGCUAUCUGUAGCUGCAAAAACCAUGUAGCAAAAUCCUACAGAGUGGAUAACUCUCAGGCUGUAACGAUUGGAUGGGAUGAAGAUGGUAUGCACUCAUUUGGUUUGCAGUGAGUAUUCCCCAGACAACGGAUUGCGAUAAACUCACUUGUUGGGCUAUCGCUCGAGCAUUCGUGCUUUGAUUGUUUUCUGCCAGGCGCAAAACAGCCUCCUCUUUGGCAGGUGACCUGCGCGUUUACGUCGAUUCAUUAUAGCUUUCCUUAAACAACAACGCAACUACGGCAUUUGCGACCUUGCAUUCCUAUGUGAUUCCGAGUCAUCUCUGUACCCCCUACACACCCUGCAAGUUUGUUGGUCAGGUAGCGAAUGGCUCUGUAUAUAUACAUAUAAGACAAAAAGUAAGAAAUUUAAAACCUAUUUUAAACAAAGACUCCAAAAAGUUAAAUUCAGUACCAAUAAAUUUCAAAAUAUCCUAUAACUAUACAAAAUAAGAAUUUAAGAAAUGUGAAAUUAAAACCUAAAAAUUAGAAAAACCUGAAAAUGCAUACCAAAACCAGUAAAAUAAAUAAAGAAGAACUGAAUUAAAUCUGAUAUAACGUUAUCAAGAUUGAUAUACCAAGAGUUGCAAUCCCCCCUUCAAUUGAAAAUCCUUCUGUAUUCAAAAUUAGCUGAUUAACUAUUCUUAAGUUUUUUUAAUUUAAUAGUAAUUCGGAUUCUAAGCCUGAUGUCGUUCAUUAUGACAGGCUGGCCCGUUCAUGCGGACGUAGUAUGUAGUCGCCAUCGUGUGUAUAAUAUAAACAGUAUACUAAGACCAUGGUCUUAUGUGUAUAUAAAUUUAUAAAUGUUUGUUUUGUUAUGCGUUUGUUUAUUGGUUUAGUAUUUAAAUUUUUGUAUGUUAUUUAGUGAUACUGUUUUAGUAUUGCAUUGCUUCUUCGUAAGUACAGUUUCUUAUCAAGGAGUUUUACUGCCCGAAACGUGCAGUCCUUGAGAAGGUGGCAGUGUUGCAAAUUUUGUAUAAUGUGACAUUAACGGCCUGAAGCUUUACCGGAAAAAUAAGAUUACAGGGGCAAAUCUAACAUUGAGGUAAAUGUUAUCUUGCUAAAUUGGUGAGAUAUUGCCAAAGUGGCAGUAAUUUUGGCGUCUAAUUUUUAUCGCCAAAUUUCGCAACAUUUUGAUCUGGUCCCUGUUUUAAUGAAAUUGGCCCAAAAGCCUAUGUAACUGUAACCCGCCCAUUCUCAGUUUUGAGUUCGAAGUAUCUUGAAGACAUCUGUAUACUUUGUAUGUCUGUCUUUUAGAUGUGCUUUGAAGUAGUUGUGUUUAACAUUCUUAAUAGUUUGAAGUGGUAAGUACUGACUGUGUUCUUUCAUACUGAGAAGAGCUGAUGUGCUUUGCAGUAGUUGUGUUUAACAUUCUUAAUAGUUUGAAGUGGUAAAUACUGACUGUGUUCUUUCAUACUGAGAAGAGCUGUAUGAGUACUUUUUGUGGAAAGCUCCAAAACUGUAAAGUAUUUCUUUUAUGAAAAUAAAUUUUAUCAAGCUA